AAUUAAACUCCUUAUAAUUUGUUGCCAUAGUCCUAAAAUCAAUAGACAAGAGGAAAUCAGCCAGCACUAAGGAAGACAGUUCUGGCUACUCAGAGAUUUCCCCAGAUUCAGAAUCUCUGAGAUUUGGAGAAGAAACAUACACAUUUAACAACUCAGGGGCGUUAAGACACGUGACUACUUAGUCCUCUUUAAUUCAAAUACAUCAAACUAAACAUAGCUUAGCAGGGGCCCGUGUUCUCUGAUCUUAAGUCCUUGCACCAAUCCUAACAGUAUUUUGCACGUUGUUUGCUAAAUAACUGUUUCAUGGGCACAUGCCUUUAGGCUUUGUAAGAAAACAAAAGCCAACUGUCACGUGACUUUACGGUUCCGGUUUGCACUCUAAUCAUCACUGGGAAGCUUCAGUCAGGGCUGCUUCAUAUAGGCUGCUCGCAUGCAGGACCUUGGGAAGCAAAGGCUGCUCGCAUGCAGGACCUUGGGAAGCAAAGGCUGCUCUCAUGCAGGACCUUGGGAAACCCUUGCUGGACCGGACUGCUGUGAGGACGGGAUCUGUACUUCUGCCUUCAGUUUUUCUUUCUUUCAUAUUCCUUCGUUCCGUUGUUCAUUCGUUCCUUUCUUUUUCUCUUUUCUUUUCUUUUCUCUUCUCUUCUCUUCUCUUCUCUUCUCUUCUCUUCUCUUCUCUUCUCUUCUCUUCUCUUCUCUUCUCUUCUCUUCUCUUCUUUUCUUUUCUUUUCUUUUCUUGAGGCAGAAUUUCUCUGCAUAGCUCUGGCUGUCCUGGAACUCACUCUGUGAACCAAGCUGGCCUCGAACUCACAGAGAUCCCCCUGCCUCUGCCUCCCACAUGCUAGGAAUAAAGGCGUGUACCACCACUGCCCAGCUAGCGCCGGUUUCUCCAGCCUUCGCCCCAUCCUAUGUAUUGCUUGCUAUCCCAUCUUUCUCAUCUGCUCUUUACAAUGUCUACUGUCCUGGCUUAUGUUUACAGCUUUUAUCCUUUCUACCAGCACUGAAUCCCUCAAAAUACUUUGCCUGUACCCACACUUCCUUAUAGCUCAUUGGCUAGCAUCCAAUAACACACGCACUGCUAAGCUAGUCACUGAGAAAGGGGUUUGGAAUUACCCCGAUGGCUGAGAUUAAUCACGGGUGUGAUAUGGCGGUUGGAGAGUCAACCACAACACCUGUUGGCAUCUCCUCUCUUGGGCUGCUUAACUGUUCUUUGUGCCACCCUUUCCUCACUGUAGUGCUUCCAUAUUUCAGCAUUUAUUUGUAGAGGUGCCUGCCUUUCUUCGGUCUUUUCCUGCCCUACACUUUCUCUUUUCUCUUCUUUUCUCUUCUUUUCUCUUCUUUUCUCUUCUUUUCUCUUCUCUUCUCUUCUCUUCUCUUCUCUUCUCUUCUCUUCUCUUCUCUUCUCUUCUCUUCUCCUCUUCUCUUUUUCUUUUCUUUUCUUUCCUUUUUUUGAACCAAAACUUCCUUAAUACAAAGUAUUAAAAUGCAACUGCAUUUCUAAAAUGA
Molecule: long non-coding RNA, 1506 nt
Filed under: Mus musculus (house mouse)
Lineage: Eukaryota; Metazoa; Chordata; Mammalia; Rodentia; Muridae
Description: long non-coding RNA chr18:70632675-70634181
Source: RNAcentral